GUGUGAUUCUGUCCUGCGGGGCUGUUCUUUUGAGCAGUGGUUGUUUAUCUCCAUCCGCCUUCUCUCCCACUUAAGUGCGUGCCGCCACCCGGUAGAAGGUUCGAUGGACAUGGACAUGAGCCCCCUGAGGCCCCAGAACUGUCUUUUUGGUCGUGAACUAAAGACCGACAAGAUUAUCAGUUUAAGGUGGACAAUGAUGAAAAUGAGCACCAGUUAUCUUUAAGAACCAUCAGUUUAGAAGCUGGUGCAAAGAAUGAAUUUCAUGUUGUUGAAGCAGAGGCAAUGAAUUACGAAGGCAGUCCAACUAAAGUAAAGUAACACUGGCAACUUUGAAAAUGUCUGUUCAGCCAGCGGUUUCCCUUGGGGGCUUGGAAAUAACACCACCAGUGGUCUUAUGAUUGAAGUGUGGUUCAGGGCCAGUUCAUAUCACAGCACUUGGUAGCUCUGGAGGAAGAUGCAGAGUCAGAAGGUGGAGAGGAGGAGGAUGUGAAACUCUUGAGUAUGUCUGGAAAGCGGUCUGCCCCUGGAGGUGGUAGCAGGGUUCCACAGAAAAAAGUAAAACUUACUGCUUCUGCUGAUGAUGAAGAAGAUGAUGAUGAUUUUGGUGAUGAGGAAACUGAAGAAAAAGCACCAGUGAAGAAAUUUAUACGCGAUACUCCAGCCAAAAAUGCACACAAGUCAAAUCAGAAUGGAAAAGACUCUAAGCCAACAUCAACACCAAGAUCAAAAGGACAAGAAUCCCUCAAAAAACAGGAAAAAACUCCUAAAACACCAAAAGGACCUAGCUCUGUAGAAGGCAUUAAAGCAAAAAUGCAAGCAAGUAUAGAAGAAGGUGGUUCCCUUCCCAAAGGGGAAGCCAAGUUCAUCAAUUAUGUGAAGAAUUGCUUCCGAAGGACUGACCAGGAGGCUGUUGAAGAUCUCUGGCAGUGGGGGAAGUCUCUUUAAGAAACUCGUUUAAACCAUUUUUUAAAAAUGUUCCAUCUUACUUCAUUUCUGUAACAGUUGAUAUCUGGCUGUCCUUUUUAUAAUGCAGAGUGAGAACUUUCCCUACCGUAUUUGAUAAAUAUUGUCCAGGUUCCAUUGCCAAGAAGGCGUUGUCCAAAGUGCCUGCAGUUUUUAAAGAUUUUUUAAAACCCUUUGCUUGGUUCUAAGUGUGUAUGAAAUGUUAUGAUAGUAGUAGUGGUGGUCAGACAUGGAAAUGGCGGGGAGACAAAAAUAUACAUGUGAAAUAAAACUCAGUAUUUUAAUUAAAAAGAAAAUUAGCCGGGCAUGGUGUUACAUGCGUUUAGUACCAGCUACUUGGGAGGCUGAGAGGCAGGGGGAUCACUUGAGCCCGGGAGGCAGAGGUUGCAGUGAGCCAAGCUGGCACCACUGCACUCCAGCCUGGGCAACAGAAUGAGACCCUGUCUCAAAAAAAAUAAAUAAAUAGAUUAAUAAAUAAACACUGAGCCAUGUCUCAGUGUGCUGGGGCUACUGUAACAAAGUGCCACACACUGGGUGGCAUGAAACAAUAGAAACUGAUUCUCUCAUACCUUGGAGGCCAGAAGUCUGAAGUCAAGGGAUGGCCAUUCUCCCUCCAAAGGCCUUCCCAGAAGGAUUCUUCAAGCUUCCAGUGGCCCAGGCAAUCCCUUGGGUCUGUGGCUGUACCUCUUCACUCUUGGCCUCCAUUGUCACCUGGCUGUCUUCUCUCCAUGUCUGUCUAUAUUUCUCCCUUUCUUUUCUUUUCUUCUUUUUCUCAGUCACCCAGGUUGGAGUGCAAUGACAUGAUCUCAGCUCACUGCAACCUCCUCCUCCUCCUGGGUUCAAGUGAUCCUCUUGCCUCAAUCCCCUGAGUAGCUGGGACUACAGGUGCCCACCACCACACCCAACUAAUUUUUGUAUUUUUAGUUGAGACAGGGUUUCACCUUGUUGAUCAGGCUGGUCUCGAACUCCUGACCUCAAGUGAUCCACCCUCUUCGGCUUCUGAAAGUGCUGGGAUUACAGGCAUGAGCCACCAUGCCUAGCCCUCUCUUUCCUUCUUAUAAGGACAUCAGUCAUUUUGGAUUUAGGGCCCAGCUUACUCCAAUAGGACCUCAUCUUAGCAUUACAUCUGCAACAAACCUAAAUAAAGUCACUUUCUGAAGUGCUAUAGGACUGUAUCUUUUGGGGGGAUGUGAUGGAAACUGUAACAGACUAUAAUUUAUAUGGAGUAAAAUGCACUGUCUUUAGUGUACAUUUCUGCACGUUUGGACAAACAGCCAUGCAACUGCCACGGCAAUCAGGACAGAAAAUUCCAUCACCCUCCAGAAGCCCUCGUGCCCUUUUGUAGUCAGCGCCUCUUGUGCCCCAGACCCUGGCAGUCAUUUGUUUCUGCUCCAUCCCUGAGUUCUGCCAUCUCGAGAACGUCCUCUGAAUGGAGUCACAGCAUGUCACCUUGUGGCUGGCCUUUUCUCAGCCUCCUGCAUGUGGUCUGCUUGUGUUGUUGUGUGACUCGGGAGUCGGUUCCUCUUUGUCGCUGAGAAUAUUUCGUCAUGUGGAUCUACCAGCGUGUUUAUCCCUUCUCUGCUGAAGCCUAUUUGGGUUGUUUCCAGUUUGGGGCGAUGACAAAUACAGGCACUAACAAAUGUUUGCAUAUUCUUUCGGAGUGGGGCCAUGCGGGCAGGCUUGCAUGUGGGCUGCUAUGUGAGGAAGGAUGUGGGGGAAGCUCAGGGAGGGGGCCGGGAAGGGGACAGUGGGGGGUCCAGGGAAGCACUGGUGCCUGGACUAGGGCCUCGGUGUCAGGGAGGGGAGAGGUGGCUCGGGGACAGGAGGGCUCACUGGAGUGUCUUGGGAGGCUGAGUGGAUGGAGCCUGGCGGGAGACGAGUGUGCGUUGUGGGAACGAGGAGGCCGCCUUUCUUCCCUCCUACCACCUCCCUCCCGGGGCGACGGCCAUUGUGGCUGAGUGUAGCUGUCUGGACAUGUGGAGGUCGAGCAGUAGAACAGUAUGGUGUGGUGGUCAGGGCUGUGAGCCCUGGAGCAAACCGCUGGGAUUCACGUUCCACUCCGUGCCUCAGUUUCCUUAUCUGUAAAAUGACAGCUCCUAAUUCAGAGUUGCUGUGUAUUGUUACAUGAGUGGAUGUAUGUAAGGACAUGGAACAGAGUCAGGAACGUAGUAGGUGCUGUUUCCAUGGUCUUCUGAAGGGCCCUGAUUCCAUACCCUCUUGUCCACUCCACUUGCAGUUGGCAGUAGUGCCUGUUGUAGCCCCCUGGAGGUGUGGACGGCAUCUUCAUCUGGGAACUGGGGGCAGGUCCCCUGACCAGGUCUGCCCUGGCUGCCUGUGGGACCUCUAGGAUGAUUGCUUGGUCCAUUCAUAUAGUGUGGAGGUGCAGGGUCAUACUGUGCCAGGUGGCAUGUGAGCAGUGUGUGGCACAGCAGCCCGCACACAGUAGGCACUUUGCAGGAGGCAUGAAGACAUGAUGGAGAGAGGCCUCGGUGACUGGUUCAUGGGACACACUCCAGUUUGGGGGCUGGCAGAGGCUCCUCAUGCCACUGCCACACAUAGCCCCUUUUCCUCCCAAAUUUGUCCUCUGUCACUGAUGGAAGCUGAUGAAGGUGGUGGCCUGUCAGCCUCUGAGCUACAUGGCCCAUGGUGAGCUGGCACCUGGCCUGGGCUCCAAGGGGAGAGGUGUCAUGGGUCCUGGUUCAAAUGGCACAGCAGCCCCCAGAAUCCAGGCCAGCUGAUGGAGACCACCCCUCACACGAGAUAGGGUUCAUGUCCAGGUUGGUUAUGAUUGAUACCAGCCUAACAAGGGGUCCUUACAGUCAGUUCUCAUUGUUCACAGAUUCUGUAUUUGCAAAUCAGCCUACUUGCUAAAAUGCAUUCGUGAGCCCCAGAUCAACCCUUUUGAAGCCAUUCGAGGACAUAGGCGCAGAGCAAUGAAAUAUUCAAGUUGUCCGAUGGGCACAUUCCCAGCUGAGGUUGAACAGGGAGAUGCUCUGUUUUCUUUCAGCUCCCAUGCUGCAAACAAGUGUCCUUGUUGAGGUCUAUUUUGUGUAAUGUUUUCAUGCUUUUUUAAGUGGUUUCACUUUUUAGGCCCCAAAGCAUAGUGUUCAACAGCUGUCUUGUGUUCCUAAGUGUAAGAAGGCUGUGAUGUGUCUUACAGAGAAAAUACAUGUGUUCAAUAAGCUUUACUCAGGCGUGAGUUAGUCCUGUUGCUGUGAGUUCAAUGUCAAUGAAUCAAGAUUAUAUAUUCAAUAAGGCGCCCUUCAACAGAGACACACAUAAAACAAGGUUAUAUAUUGAUUGGCUGAUGAAAAUGUUGUGACCAGAGGCUUACAGGAACUUAGCCUUCUAUUUCCCCUAGGAGCAAUGAUUCAGUAUUUGCUAACUCAGUGUUCAUGGUGACUUUAUAGAACAAAACCAUCAUGAAUAAUGAAAAUCAACUGUAUCUUCCUCAUGUGGAUAAAUCUGCCCCUAAACUCUCCCCUGCACUGUGCUCACUUCUACUGUCAGCCGCUCAUGCCUCUGGGUUAAGAAGUACCGGGUUUUAGCUAUGGUCUUUCUUGAAAAUGCACAAGUCCUUGGGAUAUGCACUGCCCCUCCAGUCUUGGAGCCUUGAUCCCUUCUCAUCUCCAGUGACAUUCAAGGGUUGGAAAAGACAGUUUCCAAGGAAGGAAGUGGUCAGUGCUAAUAUUUUAUUUCCUGUGAUUUUAACAGAAAGACUCUUGUAGGGAGUAGUAUCAAUCAAGGCAAAUAAAAAGCAGGGAUUUUUGAGUUUCACAGAUUUGACACUGAUAAUCACAGCGAUUAUGUCUUGAGCAUUUGCUAAGGGUCGAGAUUUUUAUCAGUUAAUGGUCAUAGCCCCCUGAGGCUGGAACUACAAUGCCCAGUUUACACGUGAGGAAACUGAGGCACAGCAAGUGAGUGGAUCAAAGCUCUUAGCAGUAGCAGAGUUGUGGCCACUUACCAGUUGAUUCAGCCACCUGAAUCCGGGUUUCUUUGAGUCCAUAUUCUCUGCCCUAGCCCCUGAACUCCCUGCAACUCUGUGCUUUAUCCAAGGUUCUUGGUCCCUUAUUGCCUUUUCUACAUCCAAGUGUGCCUGGAAGGGAUACUGCUGGAACCUCUGCAGCCUUCCAAGCCCCACUGAGGGGAUGACCUCCCCAUCCUCUACCCAAGUUAGUCCUAUGCAGACAACCCAGGUGAAGAACCUGGGAGGUGUAGAAAGGUGCACCCGGCCUCACCCACCAGUCUCUCUCUUGUCAUCUGCUGGCAAGGUCCCACCCCAUAGUUGCUGUCCUUGGAGUCUUUGGGGGUCAUUGAGCCUGGGUAGGAUGGGUGUGCCUUGGAGUUUUGGGGAGUCAUUGUAACCUGGGUGGGAUGGGUGUGCCUGUCGUGCCUUGGAACUCCUCUUUUUAGCAUCUUACCUCCUCAUUGCCUCGCUGUUGUCCCCAAAGUUAAUUCAACAGUAUCUUCAUCAGCUUGGGCUACAAACAGUGGGGAUUGGGUGGGGGUACAAACAGUGGGAAUUUAUUUCUUGUGGUUCUGGAGGCUGGGAAGUCCAAGAUGAAGGCAGCAGCAGAUUCUGUGUGUGGCGAGGCCCAGUCACCAAACACCAAACACUGUCAUAGAUGGAAUGUGUGUGUCCCCCCAAAAUGUUUAUGGUGAAAUCCUAUCCUCUCAGGAGACACGAACACUUAGUCUAUGACACUUGUGCCAGUAUUUCAAUAAAAUACUGGCAAGUGUUUUAGUGUCACACUUAGUGUAUGACAGCCAGUGUCCUGAGCUUCCUCUAACCUCCCACUCUUGAAAACUCACCCACAGUGACUUCAUGCCUUUGCACAAGGGACUUUGCAUGCUUUAUAAUCUGAUGGGGGCAGGUGGACAUAUAUGUUAACAGGGAACAAAACCCUGGUGGUGGGAUUUCCAGCCAGGGGUGCCAAGUCCAUUUGCUUUGCAAGGGCACCUGGGCCUGGCAGACGGCCCCGUCAAGAGGCGUCAGGACUGUAGUCGGCCUGGGGUAGGCACAUGACACGUUUAUUCCCCAGCAGAGGAAAUGUGGUCACAGCAACUAUUAGGUGGGUUGCAGGGUGACUCAGUGUCGCCAGGGGGUGGAAGGAAUGUGAUGCUGAUGUAGUUUCCUGCAAGGGGCGGGUCAGGGCUGCUCUCCUUGGCCUGCACCCUCACGACACUAACAGUGCCCCUGGGAGGGUGGCUGUGGAGAACCAGCAGUGUGUUCUGACCUCCCCCCAGUGUAGAAAUGGUAGUUCACUCUGCCAAAGCACAUUUCCCAUCUCCCUAGUUAUUUUAAACCCCUCCCCCUAGUAAGCCCUUGACAAAAGUGGAGGCAAGUCUCCUUUUUUUUUUUUGAAACCGAGUCUCACUCUGUCACCCAGGCUGUAGAGUACAGUGGCGCGAUCUCGGCUCACUGCAAUCUCCGCCUCCCAGAUUCAAGCGAUUCUCCUGCCUCAGCCUCCUGAGUAGCUGGGACUACAGGUGCAUGCAACCAUGCCUGGCUGAUUUUUAGUAGAGAUGGGUUUUCAUCAUGUUGGCCAGGCUAUUCUUGAACUCUUGCCCUCAAAUGGUCCACCCGCCUUAGCCUCUCAAAGUGCCCUCUCAAAGGGAUUACAGGCAUGACUCCCUUCUUUUAUCUUACUGCUAAGAGAACCUAGGCUCAUUGAAGGAGGGAGACUUGCUUAAGGUCACACAGGAAGCGAACAGCAACAGGCUAGAAUAGACCCCAGCUGCCUUUCCAGCAUACAGUGGUUUCUGCACCACCCAGAGCUGCCCAGGAUGAGUACUGUCCACAGCCACUAUUAAUUGACCCACUGUUAAGCACCAGAUGCCUUAGUUCUUCUGGUCCUCACAGCUAAUCCUAUGGGGUCAUCUCAUUUUAGACACUAGCCAGCCUCAGAGCAGAAGGCAGGCAGGGCACCCAGGCUCCUUAUCCUCCCUUCUGGGGGAGGUUGUGUCUACCAUGGUGUAAUUCUUCCCCACUCCCUCUCCCUCCUCAGCCUCAGCAGGGGAGGGGGAGGCUGCAGUCUCCUCUCCGUGUCCCCCACUCAACUCCAGAUGAUGAGGAACCGCUGAGUAAGCAGCAGGCAGGACAGAGGCAGGGGUCACAGGGCCACGGUGGGAUGUGUGGGCCGCCACGUGUUGCAGGUGCUCCCAGAGGAGGGGCAGUCUCCCCAGAGCUGUCUGAGCCUCUAGCCCUCUUGCUCAUUUUCCCAGCCCGGUCUGUUUCUGGGCAGGAGAAGGCAGCAGAAGGAAGGUGAGCAUGGGAGCUGGGAGGCUCUUGAAGGCCAGGGAGCUUUGGAGGGGAUGAGAUCCAGGAGUCUCAUCUCAGGCAAAGACCAGGCCCGGGAAGUGGCCUUGAAAUGUGCUAGCCUCCCGUGGCAGCUCCCAGGAGGAGGGGCUGGUAAACAGAUAGCACAGGACUGAUUUGUGUUCCUGAAGAACUUUCCAAACAGCGUGGUGGCUAAAGGUAAUAAUACUCAACAUGCGUCUAGUUCUCCUUCUGUUUGAAAACAAAUCCCACAAAUAAUACGUGAAUUCACAUAUACACUGAAAAGAUGUAAACUUUAGAAAAGUCUAGAUCUGCACUGUCCAGGGUGAUAGCCACUAGUCACAUGUAGCUAUUUUACAGGUUAGAUUCAUUAAAAUGUGGCAGUAGCACAACCAUUAUGGAAAACAGUGUACGGAUUCCUUAAGGAACUAAAAGUAGAUCUACCAUUUGAUCCAGCAAUCCCACUACUGGGUAUGUAUCCAGACGGAAAGAAGUCAUAUGAAAAGAUACUUGCACACACCCAAAGUUUAUAGCAGCACAAUUCACAAUUGCAAAAGUAUGGGAUCAGCCCAAAUGUCCAUCAGUCAACGAGUGGAUAAAGAAAUUGUGGUCUAUAUGUAUGAUGGAAUACUACUCAGCUCUAAAAAGGAAUGAAUUGAUAGCAUUCGCAGCAACCUGCAUGGGAUUGGAGACUAUGAUUCUAAGUGAAGUAACAUCGUAUGUUCUCGCUCCUAAGUGGGAGCUAAGCUACGAGGAUGCAAAGGCGUAAGAAUAAUACACUGGACUUUGAGGACUUGGGGGAAAGGGUGAGAGGGGGUAAGAGAAAAAGACUGCAAAUUGGGUAUAGGGUACACUGCUCAGGUGAUGGGUGUACCAGAAUCUCAGAAAUCACCACAAAGAACUUAGGUAACCAAAUACCACCUGUUCCCCCAAAAAACCUAUGUAAAUAAACAAAUGUUUUAUUAAUAUGGCAAUAGCCUCAUUUCAAGUGCUUAAUAACCACAUAUGGCUUGUGGUGACCAUACUGGAUGGUACAGGUAAAGAAAAUUUCCAGCAAUGACAAAAUUCUGUUGGACAGCACUAGCUAGACCAGAAACUAGGAAACCCUACCAGUCAAAAUAUCAUGUUUGGAAUCAGCUUGGUUCCUUUGGGCUUGUUUUAUAUAUGUUUGCGUAUUUGUGGCUAUCCAUAGAGUUAGACUUCUUGAGUUUAUAAACUCUCUCCACAUAAUGAUUGUAUCUGAUCUGCCUAGCAGCUGGGUGCCCUGCCUGCCUUCCGCUCUGAGGCUGGCCAGUGUCUAUGGGUAAGAGAAUAAUGUUCCCCAUUUAAAAAAAUUACAUCCUUUGAGUCAUAUGUCAACUUAGGUUCAUAGAGUAGCUGAGUAAAUGAGGCUGGUGUGGUAGCUCACACCUGUAAUCCUAGCACUUUGGGAGGUUGAGGUGGGCGGAUUACUUGAGGUCAGGAGUUCGAAAACAGCCUGGUCAUUAUGGUGAAACCUCAUCUCUACUAAAAAUACAAAAAUUAGCUGGGUAAUCCCAGCUGUUCGGGAGGCUGAGGCAGGAGAAUCACUUGAACUGAGAGGCAGAGGUUGCAAUGAGCUGAGAUUAUGCCACUACACUCCAGCCUGGGCAACAGAGUGAGACUCCAUCUCAAAAAAAAAAUAUAUAUAUAUAUAAAUGGACAAGUGAGGAGAGGUUGCAAUGGGUUUGUUCCUUCGGGACAGAGAGGUUCUUGCCCUGGUUUUGUCCAGAGCAGCCGAGGGGCAGCCAGGCAGCGCGGCUCUUCUCAAAUCCCUACACCUUCCACUGUCUUGUAUGUGAGAGAGAGGCUCUAACAAGCACAUUGAUCUGGGAAGGCUCAUGCCCCAGUGUCUAUUCUCCCAUUUUUAUUGUUUCCCCUAAAGUCUUCACCUAUUAUUUUGAUUGUCAUCAUAAUACACAUUUACUGUAAAAAUAUGGAGUGUUCAGAAAGUGCAAAGGAGGAGAAAGAAAUCACUUUAUCUCAGGAUUAACUGCCACGGUUGUGCCAGUUUCCACUCCCACCUACAGAAUAGGAGAGCUGCGGCUCUUCUGCAUCCUCCCUAGGCCUUGGAAGUGUCAGCCUCCAUUGUGACACCCAUGGAGAUGGGCCGUUGCUGUUCUGUUUAUGAUAUCCUGAUCCUCUUGCUGUUGAGAAUCUUUUCAUAUACUCGUGGCCAUGUGGAGAUCCACCGUAAGAAGCACCGGGUCAAGCCUCUCGCUCAUUUCCCUGUUUGUUAUCUUUUCCCUGUUGCUGUGGGCAGUGUAGUUAUGAGCCCUUUGUUGGUUGUGUCUGUAAAUAUAUCUUCUCUCACUCAGGGCUUGUGCUAUCAUUCUUGUUUUCUUUUUUUUUUGUUUUGAGACAGGGUCUUGCUCUGUUGCCCAGGCUGGAGUGCAGUGGCAUGAUCUUGGCUCACUGCAGCCUCUGCCUCCUGGGUGAGCUUUCAUUCUCCUUAUGAUGUCUUGAUGAACAGGAAGUCUUUGUUUUACUGCAUUCAGUUUCAUCGGUCCUUUCUUUUAAGAUUGGCAGAUGUGUGUGUGUGUGUGUGCAGGCACGUGCAUGCUUUUUCAGAAGUCUCUCCACCAUCAGAUUAUGAAGACAUUCUUUACUUUCUUCUACAAGCUUUUUUGUUUUACCUUCCACCUUUAGGUUAGGACACAGUCUACCCAGAACUGAUUUUUUUGUUUGUUUGUUUGUUUUUUGAGAUGGAGUCUCAUUCUUGUCACCCAGGUUGGCAUGCAGUGGCAUGAUCUCAGCUCACAGCAACCUCCAUCUCCCAAGUUCAAGUGAUUGUUUUGCCUCAGCCUACUGAGUAGCUGGGAUUAUAGGCACACGCCACCAUGCCCAGCCAAUUUUUAUACUUUUAGUAGACACAGGGUUUUGCCAUGUUGGCCAGGCUGGUCUCAAACUCCUAACCUCAGGUGAUCUGCCCGCCUCGGCCUCCCAUAGUGCUAGGAUUAGAGGUAUGAGCCACCACACCCAGUCUCUCUCUGCUUUUUUUAUUGAACACCUUUGGGGUUCCCAUUGGGAUCGUACUGAUUCUGUAUACCUGUUUGUGUAGAAUUGAUGCCUUGUCAAUAUUGUCUUCCACUCCAUGGACAAAAUCUGUCCUUCCAUCCCUGCUUCUCCUAUUGUGUGUCUGUGAUAUUUAAUGUUUAUAUCAUAAGCAGGCAUCAGUAGAAAUUUGCCAGUGAUUAGAAACAUAGACUAUUGACUCAAGAAACUGCCAGGGUUCAUAUCCCCACGCUGCCACUGGCUAAUUCUGUAGCCUUAGUGAGUUAACUUCUCUGUGUCUUGGUUUCUUCCUCUCUAAAAUGGGAAUGACAGCCAGAGUAAUCUUAUAGCGUUCUUUUAAAGAAUUAACUUGGUUAAUAUAUGUUAACCAGACACAGCAAUGCAUGGCACACAGUAAAUAGUAAACUCUGGAAACAUAAUUUAUUUCUGCGUAGGUAAUAUGCUCAUACGAUUUAAAACAAAAAUAUAUAGAGAAAAAGAUGUACAGGGAAGACAUAUUCCCACCUUGGUCCCUUCAGGUCCCUGUUUAUACCCCUUCCUGACUGCUAGUGUCCUGUAUCGUCUUCCAGAGUUUCUUUAUGCAAAUACAGAUAAUUACUUUUUUUUCCAACAAGGGAGCACAGUAUACAUACUGUUCUGUAUGUAUGUAAGUGGGUAAUAUUUCCUUAACCACUUAGUGGUUGGGUUGUUUCAUAUGAUACUAAUAUCUCCUAUUACUUCCUACGUCGCUUUUGUCCUUCAACCACACACCCGCCCUAGGAAUCUUUCCACAUCAGUACACAGAAAGUAUUCUUGUGAUUCUUCUUAGAGUUGUGGAGUAUUCCAUUCAUUUCCCUGGUCCCUUAUUGAUGGACAUUUAGAUUGUUUCCAGUCUUUUCUCCAUGGCAGACAACGCUCCCCUGAAUCCAGUGAGUACUUUUGUCUAUGCGUCCUUUUGCAACCAUACAUAUGAGUUCCCACAAUUGCUGGGUCAAGGGGCCUAUGUGUUUGCAAUUGUGAUAGAAGUUACUGAACAGCCCUCAGUGAAGACUGUACUAAUUUAUGCUUCCUCCAGUUAUAAGUGAGUACCUUAGGGACUAUUUUUGAUGGCUAUAUAUUAUUCCAGUGUUUGUAUGAGGUUGAACAUCUCAAAUUGCUUUCUUUCUAGGUCAAAAAUGGUUGGAUGUUGCCAGUUUCAUAUGGUACUAAUAUUCCUUAACCACUCCACUGUUGAACACUCUUUCUUGAGCCCUUAUUCUAUGUUGGGCUUGGGCAUGCGGUGGUAGAUAGGCCAGACACUGGAACAAAAGCUUGAGUUUGGGGGGAGACCGGCACCUUACAGGCAGUAUCGUUUGACUGUUUCCAGUUUUCCACAACUGCAAGUCAUGUGACAGUGAACAUCUUUGUCCAUUAAGCUUCAUUUGCAUUUCAAAAGUAUCUCUUUGAGAUCUAGAAGCAAAAUGGCCUGCACUGUGCAGUCUUAGCCAGAAAAAGAGCACAGAGUUCUCUAAAUAUGCCUGUACACAGCCCAGCUCAGUACCACAUAUGAAUACUCUUAAGGGAAACUAUUUUUCAAAGUUUCAAGUUGUGUUAUUUUUUGAGUAGGCAAUAUAGUCACACGGUUCAAAUUCCAAGGGUACAAAAGGGUGUACACCCUGUCCCCAGGCCUCCCAGGCCAUCUCCAGGGAUGCCACCUGAUCAUUCUCAGGUCUGUCCUUGCAGAGAUGGCCUUGGCUUGUCCUAAUAUACAUGACAGGCGUACUUAGGGCCUGCCUGUUGCCCUUGGUGACCUGGUUCUUGUGUCUUUGCUGCCUCCAGCUUCAGUCCCAGCCAGGUCAUUGGUCCCUAAAUCCUGUCUUCUCCAGUAACUAUCUCCAUGUUCAGUGACGUUUCUGGGGACCUUGGGGUGGGGGGACGUCAGCUGCACUUUCAUAUGACUAUUAUUGUAAUUGUUACAACGUUAUGCCCAGAAUAGGGUCUGAGCCGAUAGUAGGUACUGAAUAAAUAACUUACUGGGAGAAUGAAUCGUUGAUGCUAACGUCACUGAAUGUUUGCUGUACUCCAGUCAACUGUCCUGAACUCUUUACAGCAAACCCAUAAGGUAUUAAUUUAUGUUUCCCAUUUUAAAUAUAAGCAAAUUGAGGCAAAGAGAGGCUGAGUCACUUGUGAAGGCCACCGAGCUGGGAUUCGAACCCAGGCUGCCCGGUUCUCAAGUCCAUGCUUAAACCACUACACCGCAUAGCUCUGGUUGAUGACUGAAGGCUGAAUUGCAUGCAGCACCAGGGACAGGAUUGGUGCCGUCAUCUGGGUCCUGGUGGGAGUGGACACACCUGCCCAGAACAGGUGGUGCGGUCAGCAGGACAGGCAGGCUGAGUCAGCUUAGGCCUUUCCCUAUCUGGGUCAUCCUGGAUGACCACCCCAUCCUGGAUGACCCAGAUAGGGAAAGUGGCUAGGACCUUUGAACCAGAGAAGAUUCCAGAGGGAGGGAGGGUGGAGGAACUGGAAGUCAAGGUUCCUAGGAGGCUUGGGGUUUCCAGGGUUCACAAGAGCAGAGCCCAAGAAGACAGAGCAGCUGGGAGUAGAGGCUCAGCAGAGCAAAGCCAUGAGCUAUCAACCACAGUGGCUGAGUAGGGGCCCCGGGGUGGGCCUGGCAUGGUGGGAGCCACCAUCAGAAGGGCCUCAGCACUGAAGCUGGCUGCCUCCGCUGACUCCACCAGGACUCCACACUGCGUGGUCAGUGUAGACAGGUAGAGCCCAGUGGGGACAGCAGGGCACCUGGCUGGAGUCAGGAAGGCAAGGCUGGUAGCUGGAGAGUGCUGGACACACACUGAGUGACAGAAACCAUGCAGCACACACAGAUGUGGAAAGCUUGAAGGCCUUUGACCUGUCAGACCCCUUGAUGUGGGCUGUGAUGUGUGAGCUGAGGCAGUCUGGCCUGCUCUCAGCACUUCCGAGGUCCUGAAGACCUGCCUAAACUGACUUUCCCUGUUUGAGGCUGUGGGCAGGGGCCCGCAGAACCCAUCCCCUGUUCCUGUGGCUGACCCACCGAGGGGCCUUAGGCUGCACUCUAUUCCCCCAACCCUAAUGGAAGGUCUUUUGGUUUCCUAAGGGAGGAGAAACCCAGGGAACUUUUUCACAAGAUUUUCCAGACACUGUUCUUGGAGCCACAAGCAUCUAUGGAAACCCGCCAGGGCCCUGUAUGGUGGUUUAGCCCCUGGAAGUAGGCUGAAGGCAUGUGUUGAGCGUUUGUGCUUCGUGCAUGUGUGCGAGUUCCUGGUUCUGAAACUGCUACUUCUCUUCCAUCCCCACGGGACCUCCGUGGUCAGCUUGGAAAUGUGUUUUUGUUUCUGUGUGCACCAAAGCCUGGGCCAGAGGUGGAAUGAGGAAGCAGCUGUGGCUUAGCUUCACACACAUCUAGGAAGAAGGAUCUGGCAGACCCGAAGCCACGGAGAAGCCUGCCUGGCUGCCUGCCUUCUUCUGGGCUGUCCAUUGGGGCAGGGCCAGUCUGGCUUGGAAGAGAAGCCUUCAGGUGGUGGCUAGCCAAGGGUCGGUACAGAGUUGUGGAAUUUAUGAUGCUGGAAGAAACCUUAGUCCUUGAUCUGAUCCAUGCUCAGGAAAUACAUAGCUCAGCUGCUGCUGCUCUCCCAGGCAGAGCCCAUGGCACUCGUCACCAGUAGAUCCCUGCAUUCUCUCAGCUGAGCCCUCGGCAGAACAGAGUCUAGGCAGCUGUUGUCAGUCAACUGGGGUUCCCGUUGGGAGUUCAACCUACUUGGCCUCCCAGAUCUGGUUCAACCUACUGUUUGUAUUGAAGAGGCUGCUGAACCUGGAGAAGGAAAGUGAAUUGCCCAAAGUCACAUAGUAAAUAACAGAACCAGACAAUGCCAUUUCCUUUAUAUCAUACCCAUUCUUCUGAUGGUUUUACAGCAUUGCCACGUUACCACCCAUCUCAUAAACCCUUGUUAUCUCCGUUCAUCUCCACAAUGGGAUUCCACUAUCCAAAUUCAAAUUAAUUUCCCAAAAGCAUUGUGGAGCUACAGAAAAACUGAUGUUAGGUUAUGUUAAUACAAGUAGAGUAUCUAGACUGAGAGAGGUGAUGGUCACACUCCUUUCUGUGCUGCUCAGAGCACACCUGAGUAUUGUUUCUAUUUGGGGACUCCACAUUUCAGAGGUACAAAGAAAAAAGGAUACUCAUUAUACUCAAAAGGAUAAAAGCAGUAUGAUAAAGAGGCACAGAACCACUCCAUGUUUUAUGGUCAUUAGAUUUUUGACAAGGCUGCCAGAACAAUUCAAUGGAGAAAGAAUCGUCUUUCAACAAAUGGUGCUGGAACAAUUUGGGAUAUCCACAUGCAAAAUAAUAAAGUCAGACCCUACCUCACACCAUAUAUAAAAACUAACUCAAAAUGGGACAAAGAUCUAAAUCUAAGAGUUGAAAUGUUAGAACUUUUAGAAGAAAACAGGGAUAAAUUUUCAUGAUCUGAGACUAGGUCAUGGUUUCUUAGGUAUCACUAAAACCACAAACAACAGAAGAAAAACUAGACAAAUUGGACUUCUUAGAUUAAAACCUUUGUGUUUCAAAGGACACUCUCAAGAAAGUGGAAACGCAAUCCAUAGAAUGGGAGGAAAUAUUUGCAAAUCAUAUCUCUGAUAAGGGACUUAUAUCCAGAAUAUAUUAAAAAUUUACAACUCAGUAAUAGAAGACCCAAUUCAAAAAUAGGUAAAGGAUCUGAAUAAACAUUUCUCCAGAGAAGAUAUACAAACGGCCAAUAAUGGGCCAGGCAUGGUAGCUUAUGCCUGUAAUCCCAAUACUUUGGAAAGCUGAGGCAGGAGGAUUGCUUGAGUCUAGGAGUUUGAGACCAGCCUGGGCAACAUAGACCCUGUUAUACAAAAAAUAAAAAUUAGCCAGGUGUGGUGACACACCUGUGGUCCCAGCUACUUGGCAGACUGAGGUCAGUGUAGGUGGAUCACUUGAGCCUAGAGGUCAAGGUUUCCAUGAGCCAUGAUCAUACCACUGCACUUCAGCCUAGGUGACAGAGCAAGACCCCAUCUCAAAAAAAAAAAAAAAAAAAAAACCAGCUAAAAAUGAACAGAUGCUCAACAUCAGUAGCCACCAUAGAAUUGCAAAUCCAAACACAAUGAGACACAUAGAUUGGCCAUAGUCAAAAAGACAGUAACAAGUGUUGGAAAAGUGAUGGAGAAAUUAGAACCCUCAUAUGCUGCUGGUGGGAAUGUAAAAUGGCGUCUCCACUUUGGAAGACAGUCUGGUAGCUCCUCAAAAUACUAAACACAGAAUUACCAUAAAAUCCAGCAAUUCCACACGCAGAUAUGUACCCAAGGGAACUGAAAACAUACGUUCCACACAAACAUUUGCACAUGAAUAUUAGCAGCAUUAUUUGUGAUGUCCCCAAGCUGGAAACUACUCACAUGUUAGUCAGCUGAAGAAUGGCUAAGUGAAAUGUGGUGUUUCCAUAAGGUGGAAUGUUACUUGGUGAUAAAAAGAAAUGAAACAUUGAUAUAGAAGUACCGAUCAAUUCCACUAGCUGCUAGUACAUGGAUGAACCUUGAACACGUGAUGCCAAGUGAAAGCCAGACACAAAAGGCCACAUAGGGUAUGACUCCAUUUAUAGGAAAUGUCCGGAAUAAGCAAGUCUACAAAGACUGAAAGAUUAGUGGUUGCCUCAGGCUAGAGGGAAGGGGUCAGGGGUGAGGAGGAGUGACUGCUCAUAAGUAAGGGAUUUCUUUGUGGGGUGAUGAAUAUGUACUAAAAUUGAUUGUGGGGUGGUUGCACAACUCUGUGACUAUGUUAAAAACCACUGAAUUGGUUACUUUAAAUGCCGUUAAGAAACAAAGUACUCUAUCUGGAAAUUCUUGGAGACACCCAACUUAGUGUGAACCACAGCUGACAAACCUUCCCUCUAGGGUGGUAGAUGCACAAGCCAUCUUCCCAUAGUUUAGAGGCUUUAUGGGGAGCAGGGGGAGUUGUCCUCAUGGCCCGGUAAAAUGUAGAAAAAGCAAUAAGAGGAAACAUUUCAGGGGAACAGAUGAAAUCUCAGAUAGAAUUUGAGAAUUACUUCGCAGAAUGGGUUGCCCAGUGAGGUAGCUAGCUCAUGAGAUUAAAGGUCUUCAAACAGAUACAGCUGCGGCUUGCUAGGGAUGGUAGAGAGGGAACCAAAGGAGUAGGCUCUCAAAAGCCUAUUGUUAACUAACCAGAAAUCUUGCUAGCUAGGUGUAAACCUUUGGAGAGCUUGACCUCAGCAAUGAUGGGAGUGUUUACGCCCUGGAAACUGGCAAUUGCUUCACAUCAUGGCUUUUGCUUUUUUUUUAAAUCUUGGCUCACUGCAACCUCCUGGGUUCAAGUGAUUUUCCUGCCUCAGCCUCUCAAGUAGCUGGGAUUACAGGCGCCCGCCACCAUGCCUAAUUUUUUAAUUUUUAGUAGAGAUGGGGUUUCACUAUGUUGGCCAGGCUGGGAGGCUUUUGCUUUUUAUUUACUUAUUCACUGUCCUAGACAGGUGUUUUAUUGGAACACCUCUGAUUUAUGCUCCAAGAGGUAUCUCUGUGUGCUCACCUGCCUUCAAAUAUUCCCAGAUCCACCUCCCAGCCCAGUGGGAAUUCCUUCCCUGCUCUGUUCCAUGCCUCUAUCAACCCUAGCAUCCUCCAUAAACUGUUCCUGAACCACCUCCCUUCCCCCUCCACCCCAUCUCAUUUGGUAAUUACCACUUGCUAAGUAAGAGUCAGCUGUGGGCUGGGUUCUUUAGUUACACUGUCCCAUUUAGUUCCUAUCCUUGGGGUGGGUGGCAGAGUCUCCCUGCUUUACACAAGAGGACACUGAGGCUCAAAGAGGUGAGGCGCUCACGAGGAUCACAGGUCCUGCCCAGCCUGAAGCCUGUAUCUGUUUAUUACACCAUGGAAUGAGGAGUGAGGAGUUCUCCCAGCCCCAAUUGCCUGAAGCCCACAUUGCGCUCUUCCCUCUUACGUCUCUCCCGGAACUGGGACAUUCAGGGUAAGGUGUCCUCUGGCAUCAGCUGUUCUUUGGCCCCAGUGACUUUCUCUGGCUUCUGCUCUGGUGGCUUUGUGACAGCUGCCAGAGGGGGGUCCCAAAAAGUCCGCUGGGGCUGAUUCUUUGGAUGGCCAGUUGAAUCUAUUCCUGAGGCUAGACUCAUUUUGAUGACCUUCCAACAUGGGGCUCUCAGGCUUCUGAACUAACUUUAAAAUGCCAAGAAAAAAGCAGCUGAUGGUCAUGGGGACAUGGCACUGGCAGAAGGAACAGGCCUAGGUGCCUUGGGCUCUGCUCCACUCCACAUUUCCUGGACUUGGGUAUGCUCUGGGACCCCGGGGUAGGUAUGUGUGUAUGCAUGUGAGCUUUUUUUGUUUGUUUGUUUUUGAAUUAAAUAUCAGUGUAGAGAAGUCUAGAGAAAAACUUUGCAAGGCCUUAGCACCCAUAAUUCAGCUUUGUUAAUUCCUAUCACUUUGCCAUGUUUGUUUCAGAUCUUCUGGUUCGGUUUGAUAAAUAAAUGGUUGCAGAACUAGUUGGAACCUCCUUUGUACCCCUCCCUGAUCCUAUCUUUUUCCUCAGCCCAAGGGCAGACAUCUUGCUGAAUUUGGUGUGUGCAUGUCUCCUAUAUCCACAAACAGGAUAUAGGACUGUGGUGCGGGUUUUUAUAUACUUUAUAUAAAUGUUUUCAUUCCUUCUGUAAUUUGCUUAUUUCAUUCAACAUUAAGGUUGAUUUUUUGGUUUGUUUUUGUUUGAUUGCUUUUAAAACUUUUUCUUUUAACUUUUUGUUUUGACAUGAUUUCAGACUUCCAGAAAAGUUACGGAAUAGUCCAGUGAAUUCUUGCUUGUAUACUCCUUUCACCAGAUUCACUCAUUGUGAACAUUUUGUCACAUUUCCUUGUUUAUUUUUUUCUUUUCUUUCUUUCUUUCUUUUUUUUUUUUUUCUUUUUUGAAAUGGGGUCUCACUCUGUCACCCAGGCUGGAGUGCAGUGGCACGAUCACUGCUCACUGCAGCCUUGAUCUCCCCGGGCUCAGGUGGUCCUCCCACCUUAGCCUCCCAAGUAGGUGGGACAAUAGGCUCGCACUACCAAGCCUGGCUUCUAAUUCUUUUCUAAAUGAUUUUGAGAGUAAGUUGCAGACAUUUUAUCUCUUUACCCCACAUACUUAAGUGGAUAUUUCUCAAAGACAAGGACCAAAAUCAGGAAAUUAAUAUUCAUUCAAUAAACAGAAUUUAGAGAUUUAACCAUCUGUGUAGCAUUGAGUCCGACCCCCUCUUUCCUUCCCCUUCUUUUCUUCAAGACAUAUUCUCACUCUGUCGCCCAAGCCCGAGUGCAGUGGCACGAUCUCGGCUCACUGCAACCUCUGCUUCCCCAGUUCAAGCGAUUCUCCUGCCUCUCCUACUCUCCUGAGUAGCUGGGACUAUAGGCCUGUACCACCACACCUGGCUUCUAGUUUUUUUCUAAAUGAUUUGAGAGUAAGUUGCAGACAUUUUAUCUCUUUACACCACAUACCUCAGUGGGUAUUUCUCAAAGACAAGAACCAAAAUCAGGAAAUUAACAUUUAUGCAAUAAACAGAAUUUUGAGAUUUAACCAUCUGUGUUGCAUUGAUUCCGGCCCUUUUCUCUCUCUCUCUCUCUCUCUUUCUUUUUCUUUGUUUUGUUUUGUUUUUUUGAGACAUAGUCACACUCUGUCACCCAGGCUGAAGUGCAGUGGCACAAUCUUGGCUCACUGCAACCUCUGCUUCCCAGGUUCGAGCAAUUCUCCUGCCUCAGCCACCUGAGUAGCUUGGACUACAGGCACCCACCACCACACCUGGCUAAGUUUUGUAUUUUUAGUAGAGACUAAAGUUUCACCAGGUUGGCCAGGCUGGUCUCAAACUCCUGACCUCAAAUGAUCCACCCAUCUUGGCCUCCCAAAGUGCUGGGAUCACAGGCAGGAGCCACUGCACCCGGCCCCUGGCCAUUUAUUUUAUUGAUAAAUAGUAGGUGUAAAUAUUUUUGGGGUACAUGUGAUCUUCUGAUACGUAAUAUAAUGUGUUACAAUCAAAUCAGGAGAAUUGAGAUAUCCAUCACCUUAAAUGUUUAUCUUUUCUUUAUGCUGGGAACAUUUAAAUUAUUCUUGUUGUUUUGCUAUAUACAAUAGGUUAAUGUCUACUGUAGCCACUCCACUGAUUUAUUGAGUUUCCUGCCUUUUAACAGCUAUGUGAUUAUCCGGGAUGGACUGAGUCACGUUUUGUUUAUCCAUUCUCUUAUGGUGGCCAUUGGCUUUCUCCACUUUCUCUUUGUUGUAAAUGCUGCAGCUGCGGCUAUCUGUAAACACGGGUGUCCAGGGAGUGGGGCUGCUGGAAUGUGGCCUCCGGCAUUUCUUUUAAGUGUUGACAGGUCCUCAUCAUAGUUGGCGCAACUUUUUAUUCUCGGGGGAGCUUUGCUCCUCCCCAGCCUCAGAUCAUCCCUCCUGAGGAGCAAGUGAGGAGCAGUUGGGGUAAGCAGGGCGUUUUGGAGAAUGAGAAGAUGUGCCUGGUAGACUAGGUUGGCAGGGUCCCCAAAGCAAUCGGUGUCCCUGGGAGAGAGGGCAUGACCCUAUGUGUGGUUGCUACAUCCAGAAAAAUGUGACCUAUUAGAGGCGUUAUUAUGGGCCAGGUAUUACCAGCUCCAUUGUACAGAUAAGAAAACUGUUGGCCAGGCAAGGUGAUUCAAGCCUGUCAUCCCAGCACUUUGAGAGGCUGAGGAGGGCAGAUUACGAGGUCCCUCCUGGCCAACAUGGUGAAACCCUGUCUCUACUAAAAAUACAAAAAUUAGCUGGGCAUGGUGCCGUGUGCCUGUAGUCCCAGCUACUCAGGAGGCCGAGGCAGAAGAAUCGCUUGAUCCUGGGAGGUAGAGGUUACAGUGAGCCGAGAUGGCACCACUGUACUCCAGCCUGGUGACAAAGCAAGACUCCAUCUCAAAAGAAAAACCUGUUCAUUUAAGAUAAUUUUUAUUUAUUUUAUUAUUAUUACUGUUGAGACAGGGUCCUGCACUGUCACCCAGGCUGGAGUGCAUUAGUGUGAACACAGCUUACUGCAACCUCAACCUCCUGCCUCAGCCUUCUGAGUAGCUGGGACCACAGGUACACACGUAGGUGCCCAGCUGAUUAUUUUGAUUUUUUGUAGAGGUAGUGUCUUACCAUUUUGCCCAGGCUGGUUUCAAACUCCUCAACUGUAGUUGUCCUCCCACCUCAGCCUCCCAAAGUGCUGGGAUUACAGGCAUGAGUCACUGUGCCUGGCCUAUUUAAGAUGCUUUUUUCUUCUUUCUUGAGAGUCUCACUCUGUCACCCAGGGUAGAGUGUAGUGGUGGGAUCUCAGCUCACUGCAGCCUCUGCCUUCCUGGUUCAAGUGAUUCUCCUGCCUCAUCCUUCCAAGUAGCUGGGAUUAUAGGCAUGUGUUGCCAUGCCCAGCCAAUUUUUGUAUUUUUAGUAGAGAUGGGGUUUUACCAUAUUGGCCAGGCUGGUUUCAAACUCCUGACCUAGGUGAUCUGCCUGCCUCAGCCUUCCAAAGUACUGGGAUUACAGGCGUGAGCCACCAUGCCUGGCCUAUUUAGAUGAUUUUAAAUCAUGUUAGUGACGCAUAAUUAUUAUAAAACUUUGAAACAAACCACCUUCAUUUCUCUAAAAUAACUCGAUAUCUUACAUAGCCUUCUGGAAAGUAUUUCUACUGUGUGUGUUUGUAUGUAUUCCCAAGUGGAAUAAUGAACAUUAUUGAACACCCUUUCUUUACCAGGUACUGCAAGGAUAUGUAAACAUUAAUUUUUUUUUUUUUUUUUUAACUUUCAAGAGCUAGAAGAGUAGAGUGGUUAGAAGCAUAGACUCUGGAGCCAGAAUGCCAGGGUUCGAAUCCCAGUUCUGCCACGCAUUGGCUGUGUGACCUUGGGUGAAUUAUUUAACCUCUCUGUGCCUCUGUGUCUCCAUCUUUACAUGGCAGCACUAGGUGUAGCAUAGGUAUAUUCGGUUCCUAGGGCUGCAGUAGCAAGUUACCACUAGCUUUGCAGCUCAGAGCAGCAGACAUUUAUUUUCUCAUGGUUCUGAAGGCCAGAAAUCCAAAUCCAAGGUGCCAGCUGGGCAGUUUGCAUCUGGAGAGUCUAAGGGAGAGUCUGCCCGUGCCUCUCUCCCAGCUCCUGCUGGUUGCCGUCCACCUCUGGCACUGCUUGGCUUGGGGCAUCACAACUCCAGUCUCUGCCUCUACCUUCGCACGGACCUCAUCUGUGUCUCUGUGUCUUUCCUUCUUAUAGGGAUACUUCUCAUUGGAUUUAGGACCCACUUUAAAUUUAGGUUGAUCUCAUCUCAGUAGCCCUAAAUUAUAUCUGCAAAGAUCCUUUUUUCCAAAUAAGGCCACAUGUACAAGAACUGGGGUUAGGAUUUGGACAUACCUUCUUGGGAGACACAAAUCAACCUCCGAUGUUGAAUCAGGCAGGUGUGAGGAUGACUGAAAACCGGCUCUGGGGGCCCACAGUGGGCACGGUGUGGUGUACUAUGAAUUCAUGACACAGGCAGGUUGCUGUCCUGGCUGGUGUCCCCAGGGCCCCUGCACUUCCUCUGUGUACUCAUGAUGCUUUGUCCUGUGGGACCAGGCCAUCCUGUCCCAUUUAUCACCAGAGUCACACUGGCUUCUACUGGCCGGAGAGCCCUCUAAGGCCAGGGACCAGGCCUUUCCAUUCCUGUAGACCCCUUUUGCCUGGCUGAAGCUGGAAGGUCACCCUGCCUUGGGUCAGGAUGGUAGGUGGGGUAGGGACGGCCUUUUUGGUCCUCCCCUUUUGUCACACACGCUCCCCCACCCCUGGUGUGUUCUGGCCAAGUCUAUACAAGAAGUGAGGCCACACUGGAACUCUCCAAGCUGCUUCCCUCGGGCUGACAUAAGCUGGCACCCUGUGGAGCUGGGAGACUUCUGUGUCUUCCCUCCACUCCUAACAGGCAGCAUCCAGCUAGGGCCCCACAUCCCAAGCUGCCAUCCUCACCGCUCCGUCCCCACACUUGGUCAGCCCCUUGGGCCAGCUCUCCACCCUGAAGCCGAGCUUCCCACUUCUACCCCCAGGCUGAAUAGGCCUGAAUGCAGGCACAGGCACCAUGCCCAGGAGCUGUGCACACUCCAGGCCAAUUCCCACCCUCCUUUAGGGAGCUGAUGAGAAAAUCCUUGUAGAAGCUGAGAGACUGAGUCCUGCAGCUGAGGGGCUGGGUUUUCUGGGGUGUCUGCUGGCACUGCGUCGGGCAGAACAGUCUGGGUGGGUAUCCAGUGGCAGCCGUAGGACCAGAAGCCUGUGGCCCUGCUGCUCUGAGCUCAUUACUCUAUUCCAUAAGAGUGGGGGAACAAUAUGUCAUGGAGCAAUUUCUGUGUCUGGUGGAGCCGCUCCAAAGCUUCCAAGGCUCUAACAGCAAGUGCCUUUCAUUAUCCAAGGUCCCGGUUCUGCCUUUGCAGGGUCCUUGGUGGAACUGGAGUUCAGCUGGUGAGAGGGAGGGUGUGGGUGUUGGAGUGGCCGGCUCUGCCAACAGAUGGCUGAUUGGAUGCCGGGUGGGCUUAGUGACAGUUCCUGGCCGCUGGGGCUGCUGUGGCCAGGCCAGUUGAUGAGAGUCAUCACAGGUCUAAAACAAAGCCUGCGUGUUACCUGCUCUGGGCACUUCCGUCUUUGCCAUCCUGCUCCAAGUGCCAUCCUUGGCACAGACAUUUUGCAAUCGGAAGUGGACACCCAGGAACUCGGGUGACCUAUGGCAGCUGUCUGGUUCUGUCACCCUUCUUUGGCCUGGACAGAGAAGAUGCCAUGUCACUUUGUCCCUUAAGGGCCCUGUUACUCCAGGGACACGGUUCAAGGUCCAGACUUCCCUAACUCCAGCUGUUCCUUCUCUAACUUCUAGGCAUUGCUGGAAGCCAAGGGGCUGCAGCCUUUGACCCCUCUCUUACAGAUUCUUCUCAACCCUGAGAUCCUUGCAUCUGCCUAUGAGCAGGUCUCUGGGAGGCCUGAGCAGGUCUCUGGGAGGGCCCUUGUUCCAGCCACAGGGACCACCCAGAGGGAAGGGAGAGCAUCGCAAGGGUUGGGUGGUGUGUGGAAAGCAGAGGCUUAGGGGCCUGUGUCCUCUCUGGUGUUUGAGUCUGAGCCUCCAGGCUGGCCCCUUCAGCACUCAGUGCUCUGAGGUGUCUGAGACGAUCCUGGGCCUUAUUGUCUUUUCACAGGGUGGGAAAGGGAUCCUCCCAGUGGUUUGUUUCUGUGUCCAUGCCAAGCCAUGCCACGUGGUUCCCAGGCACUUGAAAUUGUGGGUUACCCUGGGGCCAGAUGUUGGGCACAAGAAAAGCAACACACAGAUGUGGGCCGCAGUCACGUCAAUCAAAUGUGCUGAGUCCUAAAAUCAAGGCUUUAAAGUGAGAGAACGGUAGUAGAAAGAGGAAGAGACGUGUUUAUAACUAAGGGGUUAAAAGGAUGGAAAACCGUGCCAUUUACUGAAUGGCGUGUCAGGCACCAUGCAAGUAGUUGACAACUCAUGACAUUUCCCCAGUAACCCUCUUACAUAAAGACAGCUAUGAUGUUUUUACUUAUUUUUAUUUUUGUUUAUUUAUUUAGUUAUUUAUUUUUUGGAGACAGGGUCUUAUUUCGUUGCCCAGGCUGGAAUGCAGUGAGGUGAUCUCAGCUCACUGUAGCUUCCACCUCCAGGCUCCAGCAAUCUUCCUACCUUAGCCUCCUGAGUAGCUGGGACUACCUGCUCACACCUGGCUAAUUUUUAAAAAAGUUUUGUAGAGAUGAGGUCUCACUAUAUUUUCCAGGUCUGACCUCAAGUUCCUGGGCUCAAAUAACCUUCCUGCCUUAGCCUUAAUCCCAAAAUGUUUGGCUUACAGGCAUGAGCCACAGCGCCCAGCAAAUUAUGUCUUUUACGGUAGUUAAGCUGAAACCUGGAGAGGUAAAGUAUUAAUAACUGGCCAGAGGUCACACAGCCUGCAUUCAAACCCAAGGCAAGCAGGCAGGCCUCAUCUGAAGGGGCUGUAAGGAUGGGAAGAACUGUUUUCCCGAUAGUUCACCAUUAAAAAUAUACAACAUACAGAAGAUUUGAAAGAACUUUGCAGUAAACACCCACACACCCACCAGUAGCCCUCAGUGGUUUUCUCUAUUUGUUUCAUUACAUAUCUCUACCCAUCCAUGAAUGCAUCUUACUUUUUAAUGUAUUUCAUAAAAAGUUGCAGACCGCCCCUGAAGGUCAGCAUGAGUAACUAGAGUUAACCAGAGUUCAGUAUUUAGUUAGUUAUGAUUAUCUUUUAUUGUUUUGGUGUAAAAUUUGCAUGUGACAAAAGUAAAUGCACACAUCUAAGUGUACUCUUUGAACUUCAUGUAAGUGGAUUCGUGCCAUGUGUACUUCUUUGCAUUUGGCUUCUUUGACUCAGCAUAAUGCUUCUGAGAUUCAUUCAUGUGGUCGUGUGUAUGGGUAAUUCCUUUUUAUUGCUGACUACUGGCCCGCUGUGUGGACAUGCCACCGUUUGUUUAUCUAUUCUACCACUGAUGGACACUGGAACCCGGUGGUAUUGAGCUAUUAGGAGGAGAGCUGCUGUGAUCAUUUGUGUGCGAGUCUUUCUGGACUAGUAUACUUGCAUUUAUCUUGGGUAUACAUGUAGGGGCGGAAUUGCUGGGACAUAGGAUAGGUGUAUGUUUAGGUUUAUUAAAAAGUGCCAUAUCGGCCGGGCGCCGUGGCUCACGCCUAUAAUCCCAGCACUUUGGGAGGCCGAGGCGGGUGGAUCAUGAGGUCAAGAGAUUGAGACCAUCCUGGUCAACAAGGUGAAACCCUGUCUCUACUAAAAAUACAAAAAUUAGCUGGGUACGGUGGUGCGCGCCUGUAGUCCCAGCUACUCGGGAAGCUGAGGCAGGAGAAUUGCUUGAACCCAGAAGGCGGAGGUUGCGGUGAGCCGAGAUUGCGCCAUUGCACUCCAGUCUGGGUAACAACCGUGAAACUCCAUCUCAAAAUAAAUAAAUAAAUAAAAAUAAAAUAAAGUGCCAUAUCUUUGUCUAAAGUGGUUUUACCAAUGUACGUUCUCCCCAAAAGUGCCCUGGCAUUCUGAUCACUUCCCAUCCUCACCACCAUGUGAUGCUGUCAGUUGUUUUAAUUUUAGCCGUUCUGGUGGUUGUACCGUGGUAUCGCAUUGUGGUUUUAAUUUGCAUUUCACCUAAUGACUAAUGACUUUGAGCGCUUUUUCACCUACUGGUUGUUGGUUUGUAUGUCUUCUUCUUGGAAGUACCUGUUCAAAUCUCUUGCCCGUUUUAAACAUUGAUUUGCUUGCUCUCUGUUGGAUAUAUGUUUUGUAAUUUUUUUCCCCCAGCCUGAUGGGCAGAAGUUGUAAAUUGUGAUGCAGUCUAACUUAAUCUGGUUUUUCGUUUAUGAUCAUUGCUUUCUGUGUCUGGGCUAAUAUAUUUGCCUACCAGGUGGAAAUAAUCUUGGGAGAAGAAAUAGACCCUGAAGGAGGAGGUAGACAGACCAGCAUGGGCACUGGCUCUGGAUGGAGAAGUGUGGGUUCUGUUGGGUGAUGGAGAGCAGCCCUUUGUAAGGGGUGUCUGGGGUUGAGGGGCAGAGGCCCAGAAAGGGAAUGCCUUCAACAUUAGGGGACUGACUGAAUUCUUUAGCCAGUGGAAUCCAUUGAAAGUUUUAGAGUAGGAAGGGAUGUGAUCACAAGACAGGGAGAUGUACAGGCCUCUUGAUGCUAGAGCCUGGGGCAGUUUUCACUCAGUCACCCUGAGGGCAGCAGCCUCAGGCCUCAAGAUGCAGGGCUGGGAACCAGGUUUAUCUCUGUGAAUUCUAGCAGCCUGUCCUGAGCCCUGAGACCACCCAGGUCUCCCCAGAUCUUCAUGGAGAUAAAUAAUCUCCAUUUAUUCUUGCAAAGGAAGCCUGAGUGCUGGUCUAGCCGUGUAGCUAGCUGGCAGCCCAGCCUCUCCUCCCAAGCCUGGGAAUGCUUGUACAUGUGGAUUUAGGGCCACCUCUCCCUGUGGCUCCAGAUGCUCAUGGGGCCCUCUCCCAUCCCCUCUGCCCUCACCUCCGCCCACUCUCACCCUUCUCUCACUCUCUCCUUGCACUUGUUCUGGGAGCAGGAACUGGAGGGUUGGGAGUCUGCUUUUCCUUCUGCCUGGAAAUCUCUUCCCCAGAUACCUGCAUCCAGGCAUAUCAUCCACAGUCACCUUUUUCAGGCGUCUUCCCUGGUCAUCCAGUUUGGAAUUGUCCCCAUUCCCGGACCCUUUCCUCUUCCUCUGUGGUGGUAUUACCAUCCGACAUCCUCUAGUCACACAUUUGCCUUGUUUAUUGCCUGUCUUCUCCCCUAGAAUGUAAAUACCAUGAAAGGUUUAUUAUUUUUUACUCUUAUUCACUGCUCUAACUGUGCCUGGAACAACAUCUGACAUUGGCAGGUCCACAGAAACAGCACAGCCCAACUGAAUGAGAGGCCCACUCCCUCAUUAUUCCCAGAACCUCUGUGUUUGAUGGCAGCUUUGGUUCUGCAGAUGAAAGAAAAUGGGGAUGAGCCCAGGGCACACCUAGGGCCACCCAGCAAAUGGGGGAAUCUUCCUUCUCCCCGUCCCCAUUGUACAGAUGAGGAAACAGACCUGGAGAGGGAAAGGACUUGGCCAAGUGCUAAACCAUAUUCACGGCAGAGAAGAAAUGGAAGUCGAUUGCCCUCGCUCCCUAUUAUUAAAAGUCCCAAUUGGCCUGGGGGAAGCUGGGGGCCAAGCAGGGAUGUUUAAGGAUGAUUAUAAUAUCUUUUGGUGCCAGAAGAUAUCUUUGUGUCUCCAAGUGGGGUUGGAGGAACUGCAGCCCAAGUGUUUUCUUUUCUGGGAAACUCAGACCUCCAUCAUUUUAACUUUUCCCAGAUGAGAUGCUGGGACCACACUCAGGGCCUGAGAAGUGGUUACAUCCAUAUCAGCCAGGCCACCCUGGCCUUGAGCUCCAAAUGAGACCAUUCAGCCUCAGUUCCACAGCCAUGGACUUCCACAGAGCCAUCCUGCCCUGGUCCUACCAGCCCCAGGAUUCUUGCCAUUUCCCAGGACACUCAUGUUUUCCUGGUGACCUGGCUCCUUCUACUGUGUAGGCUGCAGGCUGUGGACCGGGAGGGGAAAUCCAUAGGCAGCCGGGAGCACACAUAGCAUUCGUGAGAGUCAGGGCCCCCCAGAGGAUGUGGGAGGGAACUUUAUCCCAGGGUGCAGACAACUUAACACUGACCCUCACACCCCCUUCUUCAUGACAGGCAGUCCCAGUCAGUUCUCUCAGAAACCCACUGCUCAAAACACACAACACUGCUGGGCCUGUUUAAUCCAGCGCUGCCCGACCCCUCCACCACCGUGGGACCCCCGGUACCCCUCAGCCCCGCCCUCAGGCGGUUCCACUUUCCUGUGCCUUUUUACAGAGCUUACCUAGGCCUUGUCCAUCUGCCCCGAGAGGCUCCUUAAAGCACAUGCCCUGGAUGCUUCUGGAACCAACACCAGCCUUGAUCCCUGGCAUCCCUGGGCAGCAUCACAGAGACACAGGGCAAGAUGGAAGGCAACACCCACAGCUUCAUAGCUUCCUGAGACCCUCCUCUGUCUGAUGAAGGUUUUCACUCCUGCAGAUACCAUAAGAAACUUGAUGCCUUAGUAGGAGGCAGGAAGACCUUACAGCCCACAUGACUCAGGAUGUGAGGCUCCGAGAUGUUCCUCCUUUUCGGGAAUCAAAACCAGCCUGUGUGUGUUGGGACGGGGAAGACAAAUGUGAGGGUCUUGCGGGGAGGGUCUGGGAUCUCUUAAACCAGACAGAACUAUGAACAGUAGGCAGUGCCAUUUCCCAGCAAACUCCUCAGCUUGAUGUUGCUGUUUCCUGGGUCUGUGAUCCUCCUCCCCAUACCGUGCUGUGUUGACACAUCCUCAUCCUGGGGCUCAGACACUGUUGACUGGGAAAGGGUAAGAAGGAACUUUUUAGAACUGUCCUAUUCCAGCACCAUUGAGUGGAAAUCUAUUGUAAGCCACAUAUGUCGUUUUAAAUGUUGUAGCAGCCAUAUUAAAACAGGCAAAGUAAUUUUAAUAAUGUUUUAUUUAAUAUGACACAUUUGAAACAUUAUCUUGCCAGGCGCGAUGGCUCAUGCCUAUAAUCCCAGCACUCUGGGAGGCCGAGGGAGAUGGGUCACUUGAGGUCAGGAGUUCGAGAUCAUUCUGGCCAACAUGGUGAAACCCCAUCUCUACUAAAAAAAAUAUGAAAAUUAGCCGACUGUGGUGGUGCACACUUCUAAUCCCAGCUACUCGGGAGGCUGAAGCAGGAGAAUCGCUUGAAGCCAGGAGUCUUUGGAAUGAAAUCCUAUGUAUGUUUUGUGCUUACAGCACAUAUCAAUUCAGACAAGCCACUUUUAAGAGCCCAAUACCCACUUUUGUCUAGUGGCUACGGCAGUGCAGAUCUUUCUCUCUUGACCUGGGCGGUAGUUACUCAGGUGUAGAUAUAUGUAAAAAUGUGGCUAGCUGUAGACUCAAGACGUGUGCAUUUCACUGUGUGUGUUACUCUUUAAAAGUUUUAAAAACUCUUCUUCAAGGCUCUGCUCACAUGCCAUCCAUUUUCCUGAACCCACCCUGGGAUGCAAUUAGCUGCUGCUUUUGCACUGUGCUUCUGUUGUAUUUCUACUUGUACUGUAGCUGUGUCUCGCCUGUUUUCCUAUAAGCGCCCUAAGAUGAAGACCAUGGUUUGGUGUUUUUUUUAAUUACCCACAGGGGCACUGACUACCUAAUGCCGAACAAGUAAGCAUGGCUGAA
This is a non-coding RNA of Callithrix jacchus (white-tufted-ear marmoset), 28993 nucleotides long. NCBI's taxonomy places the organism in Eukaryota, Metazoa, Chordata, Mammalia, Primates, Cebidae. The record is from RefSeq and is a predicted model, not a curated record.